UACAGAGGUCUCAAGCGUUGUUCGGAUUCAUUGGGCGUAAAGGGUGCGUAGGCGGCGCGGUAAGUCGGGUGUGAAAUCUUGGAGCUUAACUCCGAAACUGCAUUCGAUACUGCCGUGCUUGAGGACUGGAGAGGAGACUGGAAUUUACGGUGUAGCGGUGAAAUGCGUAGAUAUCGGAAGGAAGACCAGUGGCGAAGGCGGGGCUCUGGACAGUUCCUGACGCUGAGGCACGAAGGCCAGGGGAGCAAACGGG
This 253-nucleotide ribosomal RNA is filed under the name uncultured bacterium. RNAcentral's name for it is "partial 16S ribosomal RNA". It matches the Rfam family "Bacterial small subunit ribosomal RNA", at positions 524 to 776 of the family's 1533-position model. The record is from RNAcentral.